RNAcentral lists this long non-coding RNA (4225 nucleotides) under Sus scrofa (pig). RNAcentral's name for it is "lncRNA (ENSSSCG00000048202.1)". Lineage: Eukaryota; Metazoa; Chordata; Mammalia; Artiodactyla; Suidae. The record is from RNAcentral.
CCCUAAAAAGACAAAAAGAUUUAAAAAAAAAAAAAAAGGAAAGAAAUGUUUUAUAACAUUCUUCUGUGGAAACGUAAAGGAAAAAACUCACCCCUGCUUUGGGAGAGUUAGGAAAGUUGCCCUAAAGAGGACCACACCCAUGGCAUAUGGAGGUUCCCAGGCUAGGGGUCAAAUCAGAGCUGCAGCUGCAGGUAGGUCUAUGCCACAGCAAUGCCAGAUCCAAGCCACAUCUGCGACCUACACCACAGCUCACAGCAACAUUGGAUCCUUAACCCAUUGAGCAGAGCCAGGGAUUGAUUGAACCCUCAUCCUCACAGAUACUAGUUGGCUUCAUAUCCUGCUGGGCCACAACAGGAACUCCUCUUCCAAUUCUUUUUCUAUAAUGUAUGCAUAAUACUUUGUUUGUUUUCUUCUUUUUCUGAGAUUUUUGUCCCCAGUCACCAAAAGAAAUCCCAGAUAUUUUAUAACACAUUACAGUUACAGAAAUCUCAAAAUAUUAAGUUCAUCACUCUUUGAAAUUGUUGUAGUUAUUAGACUUCCUGCUAGCUCUCAUUACUAAAUGCAUUAAUAAAGAAGCACGUAUAUUAAUAUAUGACAAAUUUGCUUUUUAAGAUUUUGGUAACUAUCUCAGUGGGAUUCAUUUCCUUUCCUUUGUAAUUCUAAGCGGUUAACUUUUUUCAUUUAAAACAUUAUUCUGAGAAGGUGGAGGGCCUGUGAUGAAUGUCACAAAAAAAAGUUAAGAAUUCCUCUUACAGGUAGACUUUUAUUCCUUUAGUCUGGCCCAGUGUUACAUGAAAAUUACUUUAAAGGAUUGUGUUUUAUUUUUAUUUUCUUCCUUCCCUCCUUCUCUCCUUCCCUCCCUUCCUCCCUCCCUCCCUCCCUCUCUCUCUCUCUCUCUCUCUCUCUCUCUCUCUCUCUCUCUCUCUUUCUUUCUUUCUUUCUUUCUUUCUGUUGCUUUUUGGGGCUGCACCCACGGCAUUUGGAAGUUCCUAGGCUAGGGGUCAAAUCUGAGCUACUCUGCCAGCCUACUCUACAGUCACAGCAACGCAUCCUAAAGGAUCCUAGUCGGGUUCAUUAACUGUUGAGCCACGUCGGGAACUCCCCAAAGGAUUGUAUAAACAAAACCAUACAUACUAGGAUUUUCAAGGAUAAUUUGAACUGCGUGCAGUUUUGGCCUUGAAAGUCCACCUUUGUACCCAACCACCUUAGUUAAGAUGUGACUCCAAUUCUAGAGUUUUCAAGUAGAUCCACAGCCUCCUAGGAAUUUGAAGACAUAAAAAUAGGUCUGUAGGGAAGGUUAUAGGAACUUUGAAGAAAUCCAUUCACCUCUUUUAUACUUUACUUUUCACUGCUGUAGAAUGAAGAUUUUGCUUGCCUUUCUGUAUCUUCUGGGUACAAGAUCAAUGAAUGAAAUAAUAGGAAUUUACACAGACUAAUUUGCUAUGAAGCUUAUGUUUUGAAGCCCUUUCUUUAUGCCAGCCCCUUCUAAGGCUCUAUACCUAUUCUUGUAUGGACAUUUUGUAGUUUUUUCUUAAAGAGAUCACCAAAUUUGUUAAUGUUUCAGUCUGCAUAAGAACUAAAUCCACCUCUAUACAUUCAAGUGUUAUGAAAUCCCUUGGAGAAAUAAUGACAGAGAAGCCCAAUCUCAUAUUAAAUUAAAAUUUUCUUAUUAUCCUCCCAAAUAUAGCAAAAUAGGGAACUUUUUGGUGUUUUGAAGUCUGACUUAGGCAGCAUGAUUCAGAAGAAAGUCUUCUUGAAUAGGAAAUUAGAAUACUUGGAUUUUAAUUUGGGAUAACAGUAUUGCAUACAUAUGAUUUGACACUAAACUUUUCUGAAAUUGAGUUUUUUUUUUAAAGACUUGAAAUAUCUGAUCUUUAAAAUUCUUUUCAAUAUGAAAUAUUCUUAUUCCCACACCCUUUCCUAAUGUUUAAGUGCUGUGUGUUUUUCAAACUAGUUGUCUCCAGGUUUAUUGUUGAAGUGUGACUACAAUAUUGAAAUGCAACUAAACUUGUUAAUCAUCUUUCCUGAAAGUUUCUGGAAAAAGGGAAAAUAUGGGAAAUGUUUAUAUUUCUACUCUAAAGUGUUCUUUUGUAUAUUACAUUAGAAUAUCUGAAAAAUAAUUUACUUGAUUAUCAUUAUUCCUUAAAAUAAAGCAUGAAGAAAAUUAUUUCAGUUUCACAUCUCUGAUGAAAUCUUCCCCUUGAGCUAGCUGGAUUGUUCAGUUGCGCCAAGAGCCUAAGACCUGAAAUUCUGCAUUCUUGGUACGGUUCUGAGUUCUUACUAUAAAUGUAGUACCUGAGGGAGUAGGAGGUCAAGGAGAGGGAAAAUGUAACUUCAUGCAUAUCACUUCAUCUGCAGUUAAUUCUUUUUUUUUUUUUAAUUAUUUAUUUAUUUUGCUUUUUAGGUCCACACCUGCAUAUGGAGGUUCCCAAGCUAGGGGUUGAAUCGAAGCUACAGCUGCCGGCCUACGCCACAGCCUCAGCAACACAGGAUCCAAGCUGCGUCUGUGACCUAUACCACAGCUCAUGGCAACACCACACCCUUAACCCACUGAGCGAGGCCAGGGAUUGAACUUGCAACCUCAUAGUUCCUAGUCAGAUUCAUUUCCACUGCACCAUGACGUGAACGCCUGCAGUUAAUUCUUAAAUACUAUCUUCUUGGAAGGAAAAAUGUCCUUGUUCAGAUUUUGGGGGAAGAAUGCAUUUAAAGAUGAUUUUUAGUGUUAAGAUUGGGAUGGAAAAGGGAAGGAGAUUUCAGCAGAUAUUUAUAGGCUCUUUAUAUAAAGAUGCCAUGGGGCCCAGCAGUUCCACUCCUAGGAAUGUAAUUAAGAGAAACAAAAAUGUAUGUGUACGCAAGUGAUUAUAACAGUAUUAUUUAUAAUGGCCAAAAAGCAGGAGUUCUCGUCAUGGUACAGCAGAAAUGAAUCCAACUAGGAACCAUGAGGUUGCAGGUUCGAUCCCUGGGCUCACUCAGUAGGUUAAGGAUCCGGUGUUGCUGUGAGCUGUGGUGUAGGUCGCAGACGUGGCUGGGGUCUGAUGUUGCUGUGGCUGUGAUGUAGGCCGGCAGCUACAGCUCCAAUUCAACCCCUAGCCUGUGAACCUCCAUAUGCUGCUGGUGUGGCCCUAAAAAACAAAAAAACAAAAAAAUAAUAAUAAAUAAAAAUAUAAUAGCCAAAAAGCAGAAAGAGCCCAAUAUCCAUCAGCUUAUAAAUGGAUAAACAAAGUAUGGUAUAUCAAUACAAUGGAAUACUGUUCAUCAAUCAAAAAAAAAAAUGCUCAUUUAUGCUACAACAUGGAUGAACCUCGAAAAAUUAGCUAGGAAAAGAAGCCAGACACACACACACACACAGAUAGUACAAUUCCAUUCAAAUGAAAUGUUCAGAACAGGAAAAUCUAUAGAGACAGAAAAAUUAAUGGUUGCUUAGGAAUGGAGGGAUUGAGAUAAGUAUGGGGGUGAUAGCUAAAGGGAACAGGACUUCUUUUUGUGGUUAUGAAAAUGUUCUAAAAUUGUGAUGAUUUGCACAUAAUUUGUGAACAUGCUAAAAAACCAUUGUAUACUUCAUUUUUAAUUUUUUAAUAUUUUUUGUCUUUGUAGGGCUGUACCCAUGGCAUAUGGAAGUUCCCAGGCUAGGGGUUGAAUCGGAGGUAUAGGUGCCAGGCUAUGCCACAGCCACAGCAACGCCAGAUCCGAGCUUUGUCUGAGACCUCCACCACAGCUCACGGGAACAUUGGAUCCUUAACCCACUGAGCAAGGCCAGGGAUUGAACCUGUAUCCUCAUGGAUACUAGUCAGGUUUGUUACCGCCGAGCCACAGCAGGAACUUACCCAUUGUAUGCUUUAAACUAGUGAAUUGUAUGGUAUGUGAAUCAUAUCUUGAAAAAAAUUAUUUUUAAGGAUGCCGUGGGACUCAGUUAAUCAAAACACAGAUUUAGACAUGUAUCCUCUUCUGAACAGGCACUUUUCAUCCAGUUAGAGUACUAGUAUAUAAAUGUUUAAAAGUGUAGCAAAGGGGAGUUCCCGUUGUGGCUCAGUGGUUAGUGAACGCUACUAGCAUCCACGAGGAUGCAGGUUCCAUCCCUGGCCUUGCUCAGUGGGUUAAGGAUCUGGCGUUUGCUGUGAGCUGUGGUGUAGGCCACAGAUGUGGUUCGGAUCCCAUGUUGCUGUGGCUGUGGUGUAGGCUGGCAGCUUCAGCUCCAAUUGGACCCCUAGCCUGGGAAUCUCCAUAU